This 497-nucleotide ribosomal RNA is filed under the name uncultured bacterium. Its description in RNAcentral is "partial 16S ribosomal RNA". It matches the Rfam family "Bacterial small subunit ribosomal RNA", at positions 28 to 507 of the family's 1533-position model. The record is from RNAcentral.
GAUGAACGCUGGCGGCGUGCCUAAUACAUGCAAGUCGAGCGAACAGACGAGGAGCUUGUUCCUUUGACGUUAGCGGCGGACGGGCGAGUAACACGUGGAUAACCUACUUAUAAUACUGGGAUAAUUUCGGGAAACCGGAGCUAAUACCGGAUAAUAUAUUGAACCGCAUGGUUCAAUAGUGAAAGACGGCUUUGCUGUCUCUAAUAGAUGGAUCCGCGCCGGAUUAGCUAGUGGGUAAGGUAACGGCCUACCAAGGGGGCGAGGCGUAGCCGACCUGAGAGGGUGAUCGGCCACACUGGAACUGAGACACGGUCCAGACUCCUACGGGAGGCAGCAGUAGGGAAUCUUCCGCAAUGGGCGAAAGCCUGACGGAGCCACGCCGCGUGAGUGAUGAAGGUCUUCGGAUCGUAAAACUCUGUUAUUAGGGAAGAACAAAUGUGUAAGUAACUAUGCACGUCUUGACGGUACCUAAUCAGAAAGCCACGGCUAACUACGUG